This 465-nucleotide ribosomal RNA is filed under the name uncultured bacterium. Its description in RNAcentral is "bacterial SSU rRNA". It matches the Rfam family "Bacterial small subunit ribosomal RNA", at positions 338 to 795 of the family's 1533-position model. The record is from RNAcentral.
CCUACGGGAUGCACCAGUGGGGAAUAUUGCACAAUGGGCGCAAGCCUGAUGCAGCCAUGCCGCGUGUGUGAAGAAGGCCUUCGGGUUGUAAAGCACUUUCAGCGGGGAGGAAGGCGUUAAGGUUAAUAACCUUGGCGAUUGACGUUACCCGCAGAAGAAGCACCGGCUAACUCCGUGCCAGCAGCCGCGGUAAUACGGAGGGUGCAAGCGUUAAUCGGAAUUACUGGGCGUAAAGCGCACGCAGGCGGUCUGUCAAGUCGGAUGUGAAAUCCCCGGGCUCAACCUGGGAACUGCAUUCGAAACUGGCAGGCUAGAGUCUUGUAGAGGGGGGUAGAAUUUCAGGUGUAGUGGUGAAAUGCGUAGAGAUCUGAAGGAAUACCAGUGGCGAAGGCGGCCCCCUGGACAAAGACUGACGCUCAGAUGCGAAAGCGUGGGGAGCAAACAGGAUUAGAUACCCGGGUAGUC